This 254-nucleotide ribosomal RNA is filed under the name uncultured bacterium. RNAcentral describes it as "partial 16S ribosomal RNA". It matches the Rfam family "Bacterial small subunit ribosomal RNA", at positions 1238 to 1500 of the family's 1533-position model. The record is from RNAcentral.
UACAGCGGGAAGCCACCUGGCGGCAGGGCGCGGAACCCGAAAACCUGUCUCAGUUCGGAUUGGAGUCUGCAACCCGACUCCAUGAAGCUGGAUUCGCUAGUAAUCGCGCAUCAGCCACGGCGCGGUGAAUACGUUCCCGGGCCUUGUACACACCGCCCGUCAAGCCAUGGAAGCCGGGAGUGCCUGAAGUGCGUGACCGCAAGGAGCGUCCUAAGGCAAUACCGGUGACUGGGGCUAAGUCGUAACAAGGUAAC